GCUUACCUCUACUAAUAAUAAAGUUUGUAAUGUAACAAUACAAAUAAAUUCAGAGUAUUAACCCUAUAUCUUUCUUACGUUUUUGGGCUUCUUUUUCUAGAGGAGGUUCACAUUGCUUCUGGGGGCCUGGAUUUUCUACUUCGGGCCCACUUCCAGCUGCAACUCUUGUGGAACCUAACUUAUUUAGAGUCCUGAGCAAGGAUUUGCCAACAUCACUCCUUUAA
RNAcentral lists this long non-coding RNA (224 nucleotides) under Sarcophilus harrisii (Tasmanian devil). RNAcentral describes it as "lncRNA (ENSSHAG00000029183.1)". Lineage: Eukaryota; Metazoa; Chordata; Mammalia; Dasyuromorphia; Dasyuridae. The record is from RNAcentral.